This 405-nucleotide unclassified non-coding RNA is filed under the name soil metagenome. RNAcentral's name for it is "partial contains 5.8S ribosomal RNA, internal transcribed spacer 2, and large subunit ribosomal RNA". The stretch from base 1 to 121 matches the Rfam family "5.8S ribosomal RNA", at positions 35 to 154 of the family's 154-position model. The record is from RNAcentral.
GAUGAAGAACGUAGCGAAAUGCGAUAAGUAAUGUGAAUUGCAGAAUUCAGUGAAUCAUCGAAUCUUUGAACGCACCUUGCGCCCUUUGGACAUUCCGAAGGGCAUGCCUGUUUGAGUAUCAUGAACACCUCAACUCUCACGGCUUGUCCGUGAUGAGCUUGGACUUUGGGGGUCUUGCCGGCCUGUGGUCGGCUCCUCUCAAAUGGAUCAGCUUGCCAGUGUUUGGUGGCAUCACAGGUGUGAUAACUAUCUGCGCUUGUGGUUUUCCAUCAGAUAACCUUCAGUGAUAUGGAGGUUCGCUGGAGCUCACAAAUGUCUCUCCUUAGUGAGGACAGCUCUUUGAACGUUUGAUCUCAAAUCAGGUAGGACUACCCGCUUAACUUAAGCAUAUCAAUAAGCGGAGGA